CUUCUAGCCUCUCUGAUAUCUGAUAAGUGAGAUGGCAGCCAACCAGGCUCUCCCGUCCCUGGGAUUCUCCAGGCAAGAACACUGGAGUGGUUGCCAUUUCCUUCUCCAAUGCAUGAAAGUGAAAAUUCAAAGUCAAGUCACUCAGUCAUGUCUGACUCUUCACGACCGCAUGGACUGCAGCCUACCAGGCUCCUCCACCCAUGGGAUUUUCCAGAAAUCCAAGGUGAACCACUACUAAAACAGAUUAUAGUAUUAUCUGGAUAUUGGAUGAGUUGGUCUGCUGAACUUGACUUCACAGAAGGAAUUAAAACUUUGAACUUGUUGUUUAACAAAAUUCUGCAC
Bos taurus (domestic cattle) is the source of this 342-nucleotide long non-coding RNA. Lineage: Eukaryota; Metazoa; Chordata; Mammalia; Artiodactyla; Bovidae. The record is from Ensembl.